UACGGGGGGGGCAAGCGUUGUUCGGAAUUACUGGGCGUAAAGGGCUCGUAGGCGGCCAACUAAGUCAGACGUGAAAUCCCUCGGCUUAACCGGGGAACUGCGUCUGAUACUGGAUGGCUAGAGGUUGGGAGAGGGAUGCGGAAUUCCAGGUGUAGCGGUGAAAUGCGUAGAUAUCGGAAGGAACAUCAGUGGCGAAAGCGACUUCCUGGACCAAUACUGACGCUCAUGUGCGAAAGCGUGGGGAGCGAACAGG
This 253-nucleotide ribosomal RNA is filed under the name uncultured bacterium. RNAcentral's name for it is "partial 16S ribosomal RNA". It matches the Rfam family "Bacterial small subunit ribosomal RNA", at positions 524 to 776 of the family's 1533-position model. The record is from RNAcentral.